CGUUUGCGUUAGGGAUAGUAGCGGUAUCCUUUUAUUUUUUUCUUUAAAAAAUAAAAGAUAUAGCGGAUAGCCCGACCGAAG
Molecule: small RNA, 81 nt
Filed under: Flavobacterium chilense
Lineage: Bacteria; Pseudomonadati; Bacteroidota; Flavobacteriia; Flavobacteriales; Flavobacteriaceae
Description: Flavo-1 RNA
Rfam family: Flavo-1 RNA
Source: RNAcentral